UACGGAGGGGGCUAGCGUUGUUCGGAAUUACUGGGCGUAAAGCGCGCGUAGGCGGACCUGCAAGUCGGGGGUGAAAGCCCGAGGCUCAACCUCGGAACUGCCUUCGAUACUGCGGGUCUCGAGUCCGGGAGAGGUGAGUGGAAUUCCUAGUGUAGAGGUGAAAUUCGUAGAUAUUAGGAAGAACACCAGUGGCGAAGGCGGCUCACUGGAUCGGUACUGACGCUGAGGUGCGAAAGCGUGGGGAGCAAACAGG
This 253-nucleotide ribosomal RNA is filed under the name uncultured bacterium. RNAcentral's name for it is "partial 16S ribosomal RNA". It matches the Rfam family "Bacterial small subunit ribosomal RNA", at positions 524 to 776 of the family's 1533-position model. The record is from RNAcentral.